RNAcentral lists this unclassified non-coding RNA (378 nucleotides) under uncultured Parachlamydiaceae bacterium. Its description in RNAcentral is "contains 16S-23S intergenic spacer region". The record is from RNAcentral. Lineage: Bacteria; Pseudomonadati; Chlamydiota; Chlamydiia; Parachlamydiales; Parachlamydiaceae.
UCCUGGUUAACCCAGGCAGUCUCACUAGAGUUCCCACCAUUACGUGUUGGCAACUAGUAAUAAGGGUUGCGCUCGUUGCUGGACUUAACCAAACACCUCACGGCACGAGCUGACGACAGCCAUGCAGCACCUGUGCAGAGGCCCCGAAGGGAAAUACCAUUUCUGGUAUCGUCCUCUGCAUGUCAAGUCUGGGUAAGGUUCUUCGCGUUGCAUCGAAUUAAACCACAUGCUCCACUGCUUGUGCGGGUCCCCGUCAAUUCUUUUGAGUUUCACCCUUGCGAGUGUACUCCUCAGGCGGUAUACUUAUCGCGUUAGCUACGGCACAGUCGGGGUUGAGUCCAACUACACCAAGUAUACAUCGUUUACAGCAAGGACUAC